This 446-nucleotide ribosomal RNA is filed under the name Tylos maindroni. RNAcentral describes it as "partial 12S small subunit ribosomal RNA". Lineage: Eukaryota; Metazoa; Arthropoda; Malacostraca; Isopoda; Tylidae. The record is from RNAcentral.
AUAUUUAAAACUGAGGUAAAAUUCUGUAUUUGAAGUAGUAAAUAGCUUGUUAAUCUUUAAAUUCAUGACUAUAAAAAAGGAUUAGAUACCCUUGUAUACAUGAAGAUCCAACCUUAAGUAGUAGAAGCUAUUUUUUUUGAAAUUUAAAGGGUUUGGCGGCUUUUAGUUUAAUCAGGGGAAUUUGUACCUUAAUCGUCAGCACGCGCUAGACCUUACUUAAUUUAUAGUUUGUAUACCGCCGUCUUAAUAAUCUUUAAAAAGUGGAUUAAAAUUAGGAAUAAGUACGACAGGCCAUGGUGCAGCAUUAUUAAGAUGGUUACAAAUUACAUUUUAAAUAGAAUUGGAUUUAAAUUUAAAAUUUUAUUGAAAGUGGACUUGUAAGUAAUUAUAAAUUAGAAUAUUAUAAUAAAUUUUAACCUAAAAGUGCACAUAUCGCCCGUCACUCU